CUUUGUCAGGAAUAUUGAGUGACAUAGAUGAGCACAUUAAUGGAGAGGGAGAGGUAACACGAGAAACGGCAGCCUCCAAGGUCUUCCAUCACUCUGCAAAUUCUUACCACACAUGGCUCUGCGUAUCCCCUGACCUGACUCACUCCUCCCUAAUCUCUAAAUUCCUCCACUGUAUCUACUGGAUAUCAUAAUCUAAAGUCAGCAAAAUCUCCUAUUUUAUCAAGCCCUUUUGUAAACAUUUCUCUCUCUCUCUUUUUUUUUUUUUCACUAACUAGAUUCUCUCUGGGACACUCAAGUGUGGCUUACCCCUCUUUUAUACCAUACUUCACUAGGCCUGGAGUUAUUCUGGUAAGCAGAAUAACUCCUCCCCUUGUCCCCAAAGAUGUCCACAUUUAAACCUUAGAAUCUGUGAAUAUGUCCCCUUACAUGGCAAAAUGGACUUUGUAGAUGUGAUUAAGUUAAGGAACUUGAAAUGGGAAGAUUAUUUUGAGUUACCUAGGUAAGUCCAUUAUAAUCAUUUUGGAUUCUUAUAAGAGGGAGGCAGAAGUGUUGGAGUCAGGGAGAGAUUUGAAGAUGCUAACUGCUAGCUUUGAAGAUGGAAGAGGUCAGGAGCCAAGAAAUGCAAGCAGCCUCUACGAAGCUGGAAAAUGCGAGGAAACAGAUUUUUU
RNAcentral lists this long non-coding RNA (668 nucleotides) under Homo sapiens (human). RNAcentral's name for it is "non-protein coding lnc-MRPS30-2:1". Lineage: Eukaryota; Metazoa; Chordata; Mammalia; Primates; Hominidae. The record is from RNAcentral.